Anas platyrhynchos (mallard) is the source of this 3166-nucleotide long non-coding RNA. RefSeq lists it as uncharacterized. Lineage: Eukaryota; Metazoa; Chordata; Aves; Anseriformes; Anatidae. The record is from RefSeq and is a predicted model, not a curated record.
AUAUUAUAUAUAGGCCCAUGCCAUGUGUCAAAGGGAGAACGGCAUUUCUCCAAGGACAGAUAAUAUUAUUUAUAACAGAGGUCUUGCAGUUUUCAGUGAUAGUAUCAAUUGUUUACAGCUGCCUGAAACAAGAAGUUGAGUUGGUCUGAUAAGAGCUUGAGGCUUGGGUCCAAGCCAGAUACUCUUACCAAGGCUGCAGUGGUGAGUGUUACAAGCCUCUGUAGCCAGAGAGUUGCUGAAAAAUUAGACUAUUUUUUGGGUUGUAUCCAGCUGUGUGCCCAGUUCUUGCGAAGGGAAGAGCAGAUAGUUUCUUCCCUUUCUUUCUCCCCCUCCGGAGGCGCGGUGCCGCGGCUGGGCCAGCAGAGGGAGGUCACGGCUCGCCGGGCGCAGCGACGCCGCCGGCCCAGAAGCUGCAGUACAGCAGGGAGCGAAGAGCAGCCUCCAGCAGCGCCUCGGCAGCUAAUCGGCGGUAGAAGCCGCCCACCCGACUGGAGAGAUUCUAAGCAGAAUAUGAAGCUUUGCUUGUUGUACUUCUAAUAUCUCUAAAGAUUUUCUCAGAGAAAAUAAGAAAACAAACAACAACAACAACAACAAAACUUUGUGGGGACAAAAUACAUCCAGAAUAUAUAUAUGUAUUUUACUACAUUUCAAAGAAACCCAUUUCAGAUAAAACAACAAGAUAAUGGUGAUCCUAACGAUACCGGUGUUGUGAUCAGGCUUACUUCUGACAAUUUGAUCUUUGCUGAAUUGCUGUGACUGGGACUUCUUUAAUUUUGAAACAUGUUCAAAAGGCCUGUACUGAUAAGUGCAGGAGAACUCAUUCUGUCACAACUAUUUAUUUAUUUAUUUAUUUAUUUGCUGUACCCCCUCCUACAUGUGUGAAUAUUCUCAAGUGGAGAUAAUUUUGACCUACUUGUUCAAGACAAAAGCAUAAGCGUGCAUUCACUGCAUAACUGAAAUCUUACACAAAUGUGAGUGAAACUUGCUUAAUUUUGUAUUUAUUUAAAUGUGUUUUUUUUAUUAUUAUUUUCCUUUAUUAUUUUUUUUUAAUUAACAGCAGGAUCUGUAUAGUGUGUAAAGACAUAGUCUUAGAUGAUUCUUGUCCCUUUCUUUUGUUACUACCACAGCAAAAUCACUGUUGUUAAAUCAGACCAGUCCCUAAAUGUGGAGCAGUAGGAUGGAGAUGAAGUGAUAAACAAUGGACUGCAGUGUUUUUGUUUUGUUUUGUUUUAGUGGAUUUCUUUUUUUAUAUACAUUCAGUUAAUGAUUUUCCCAUCAUAAUCAAUUUAGCUAAAAUCUUCUUUUUUAUUGUUUAGGCAAGUACUAAAGUAGACCUGUAUGCUACAGAGAGCAUAAAAUUCUUUUUUUUUCUAGGCCCAUCUAUCUAUAGGCUUCAUAUUCUUACUUCAGCUCCCAUCUUCCUUUUCUCAUCAUUCAAGUCCACAAUUAUUCUGCUUUCCAUAUGAAAGUUAUUAAUAGGUUUUGAUAACUUUUUGACAAAGAAGGGUGGGAACGAUUCUCCUUUGAUUGGAAUUACUUUAUGUGAUUCAUCUGCACAAAGGUGUACUGAUAGCACACAUGCACCAUAUUACCCUCUUCUCCACUUAUAAAUCUCCCACUAGUGGGAGAUUUAGCAGUUGAUCUCUUCCAACUUCCCACUAGCUUCCUGACCUCCAGUUUCACCUUUCUGACACUACACUCACAUGCACACAAACACAGUUCUUCGCAGCUUACCUGGGGAUUUCUUUUUCAGGGACUAUCUUUAAAGUGAUACAAGUCAUUUGAGCUGCAGAAUAGCUACACAAAACCAGAUUGGCUAGUCAUAACUGCUGGUCAUAACAAGCCUUUUGUAAAACUCUAGCCUGAUUUUAUUUUAUUUUUCUUAUUUGUUUAUUUCUCCUUUCUAAUGGAGUGCUCAUCACAAUGCCAUUAGAGUACUCUUUAGACUGAUGAAUCAAAAUAAUCCUAUCUCCUGUUUUUUGUAAGUGUAAGAAGUGUUUCUAGAAGGCUUUAGAUAAAAGGGUAUAUUUAAAAACAUAACAGCAAAAGCACAUGCAUGCAUUUACCUUGCUGAAAUAUUUGGCAAAGAAAUGUGUCUUCCAUCUGGCAUGAUAAGCUUGUGAAGGUUCUUCACACCCAAAGUCUGUGACAGAACUAAAGCAAGCGAACAAGAAAGAUCUUCCUCUGAAAAGAUGGCCUUUAUUCCAUUGAGCUCUCUUGUGCUGGAGGACAUUUAUCUGCCACGAGAUUUAGAUCAGUUAGAUAUUUGGGCAAAGUUCUUGAAACACACUGGUCAAAUGGACCAAGACCUUGAGCUUGGCAUGAAGUUCUGGCAGUGUGCAAAGGAAAAUUUUGUUGAUUGCUUGCCUGUGUUGCUAAGGCAUACUGCAGCAUUUUGUAUAGACUGAGCUUCAAACUUCCUGCUGAAGUACCUUGUAUCACUAUGGUUUGGCUGAGAAAUGACUAAGAGCAGAUGACUAGAUGUCUGGAUACCAUAUGGUCAUCUUUCUGUAAAUUAUGGGGAUUACAGUCUGAAUUAAGUCUUUUACAUGUCAAUAAAGGAAAACGUACUGUACAUUUGAACUCUUCCCAUCAGUACUGACCUGUCUUCCUACUGAGUUCAGCUGAUCUUUUUUUUGUCUAAUCUCUGAUGGAACAGUGAUGCCAGCUGAUGUCUUUUUAUGAUCCUGCCAGCUCAAUCAGAUCAAUCAUGUAGUAAUUGAAAGCAGAUUAUAAAAAACACUAGAGGAAGAAUUACUUCUCUUUAAGAGUCUGCAAAAGAAUAAACCUAGCAGUAGAGAUGUAAUUUUCUGUCUUUUCUAACAGGAUGCAUUCUUCUCUAAAACAACUUACAUUAUGUUAGUUGCAUGUACUGAAGUUAGAAACUUCUGCCACUUGUCAAGCAAGACAUCAGAAUUGCAUGGUUAUCUGUGUAGUGCAAAACUAAAAUCCAGGAGGAUAAGAAGAAAUGUUUAAAUUCUUUUCAGUGAUUGAUGGUACUAAUGGUGACUUUUCUCAUCGGUAUAGCCUUACCAAACAGCCUCAUUUCACAGGUCACCUCCUUUUGCUAGGUUAGUUGUUUUCCCUUUGUCUCGAUUCUCUAAAGACGUACUGGGGAUAAAACCUAUGAUACUGGAUAUUAAAGAAUGAUGUAGCCAAAGUUGAU